RNAcentral lists this long non-coding RNA (2214 nucleotides) under Pelobates cultripes (western spadefoot toad). Lineage: Eukaryota; Metazoa; Chordata; Amphibia; Anura; Pelobatidae. The record is from RNAcentral.
AGCCAUCCUAAUAUCACCACGCAUAGUCUUCACCCCGAGGGAAAUCAAAACAGACCACUUGGGAAGAUACCUAUUUAUCAAAGGCACAUUGAAUAACACACUGGUGACACUAGCAACUAUAUAUGCCCCAAAUAUCAAACAAGUAUCGUUUGCCAACUCAUGUCUUAGGAAACUGCACAAAUUUGCAAAUGGGAUAAUAGUUUUAGGGGGAGACUGGAACAUGGUUCUAGACCACUCUACGGACAGCUCCACAACCAGUAGAGACACACAGAUACACCAAAGGGCUCUAUUUCAGAGAUCCCUCCAUGCCCACCAGCUGGUGGACUGCUGGAGAAUAUCCCACCCACAGGAGAGGGACUAUAGCUAUUAUUCACAGGUGGCUCAUAGUUAUUCCAGAUUGGAUAUGUUCUUCUUAGAACAUAGGCACUUACACCUGUUAAAGGAAGCAUCAAUUGGCCACAUCACGUGGUCAGACCAUGCCCCGGUGUUCCUCACACUAUCCAUUACAGGAACAUGCACACCCACCAACAAAUGGCGGUUAAAUGAAUCGCUCCUGGACGACCCAAGAGUGACUGAUGACCUCAAUAAUUCCCUCCCUAGAUACUUCCUAGAAAACAAAAACAAAGACACCGCAGACACCUGGGUAUGGGAGGCACACAAAGGUAUCACCCAAGGCAUACUGAUCAAGUGGGGUGCACGUAUCAAAAAAGAACGCCAAGCAAAGAUCAAAUCACUCACAGAAGCAAUAGCUAGAGCAGAAAUGGAACAUAAAACCGACCCCUCAGUGGAGGCGUAUAACAAACUAACGGCAUUGAGAAUGGAUCUACGCAAUAUCCAUACGAUGCAGGCACACAGAGCAGUACUUCUAACCAGGGGAACAUACUAUGCACAUGGUAAUAGGAGUGGGAAGUUCCUGGCCAGAGCCCUAAAAGAAAAGCACCAAAAAACAUACAUAUCCCACAUAAAGGCGCAAGACGGUACACGCAAAGAUAAAACCGAGGACAUAGCCAAAAUCUUCCGGGAAUACUAUAGUAACCUAUAUAACCUAGAGCACCAGAGAGGUCCUUCCCAUGACAUUAAAACAUACAUCUCCUCCCAUAUCCAAAAAACAAUAGACCUUCACCAGUCAACCAUAUUAGACUCCCACAUCCAGCUGGAAGAAUUGCAGCGAGCAAUUAAAACACUUCCUAAGGAUAAAAGCCCGGGACCAGAUGGCCUAACGGCCAGAUAUUACCAAUCUUUCCAACACAUCCUAUCUCCCCACUAUCUAGAAGUACUUAACAAUCUGCUAACCACUACCGAAUUACCACCCCCGAUGCUGAAAGCAUCGAUAACAAUCCUGCCAAAACCCGGCAAGGACCAGAGCCUGUGUGGUAGUUAUAGACCCAUCUCCCUAAUUAACCUUGACGUUAAACUGCUUGCAAAAAUCCUUGCCAACCGACUCAAGACACUACUGCCUGACCUGGUCCAUACAGACCAAGCGGGUUUCAUCCCGGGCAGGGAGGCGAGAGACAAUACCACAAGAAUACUCAACCUCAUACAUGUUGCCUCUACCACCAGGGAACCAACAAUACUCCUCUCGGUGGACGCCGAAAAGGCGUUCGACCGAGUAGACUGGAUCUUCCUAUUCACCACCCUUGAAACCAUAGGAAUCGGCCCCAAUUACAUACGAUGGGUGAGAACACUAUAUAAAGGACCAUCAGCCACAAUUGGAGUUAAUGGGCAAGACUCUCCCUCCUUUGCCAUAGGUAAUGGCACAAGACAAGGGUGCCCUCUGUCGCCACUGCUAUUCGUUCUGGUGAUGGAACCAUUUCUAAACGCCAUCAGGGCAAAUGCCAACAUUAAAGGCAUCAGGGCAGGGGAACAGGAAGUAAAAGUAUCUGCUUUUGCAGAUGACGUACUCCUAACACUCACACACCCUGAGCGCUCCCUCCCGCAUCUUCAGAGCGAAAUAGAACACUUCAGUACAUACUCAAAUUUCAAAAUAAACGCUGAUAAAUGCGAACUAAUGGGCAUAAACCUAAAACCGACCCAACUCAAACACAUAAACCACAAUUACCCUUAUCGAUGGGCAAACACAGGCCUCACAUAUCUAGGCAUCAAACUCGCACCCACAACGACAAGCCUCUAUAGAAUGAACUACAUUCCCCUAUUGGCUAACAUUAAAUCACAACUCAAACACUGGGACAAACCUCACUUCUCCCUUUUUGGAAG